Molecule: long non-coding RNA, 657 nt
Filed under: Homo sapiens (human)
Lineage: Eukaryota; Metazoa; Chordata; Mammalia; Primates; Hominidae
Description: HSALNT0174805
Source: RNAcentral
GCCCACCUCGGAACUGUCCUGAGUGCUGAAAUGGUGCCUGGUUGCAGCUGACAUUCCUGUUCCUUCACUUAAGUGCUCUGCCGGAGCACUAGGGGGCUGAAGGCAGCAGUAGGGCGAUGGAAAGCCUGGCCAAGGGCUUCUAGAACUUGAAGCUCACCAUUUUUGGAUGACAUUCUGUGAACGAAGUGUUCUCUAUGAGAUACUAAGAGCAAUAUAGGGUAAUCACUGGUGACAGAAACAUCUGCUCAUGCAGGUUCAUGUCAAAGUCCAGGGUUGAAGGAGAACCCCUCAUCCCAGGUGUGGCAGAAUUGAUGCCCUAUAACUUCUGAGUGUAGGUCAUAAAAGGCAAUGUGGCUCCCCCAGCUCUCUCCCUCUGUCAAGAUGCUUUUCCUUGGAAUCCAGCUGCCAUGUUGUGAGAAAGCCCAGGGCACCGCAGAGACCACAUGUGGGUGUUCCAGCCAACAGCCCCAGCUAGGUCCCCAUGGAGAGCCCACACCAACCACCAGAUAUGAGGGUUCAGACUCCAGCCCACAGUCUUCAAGUCUUCCAGCUGCAGUCCCAGACAUCAUGAAACCAUUCUGCUGUGACCUGUCAGAAUUUCUGACCCCAGAAACUGUUGGAGAUAAUAAAUAAUUACUGUUGUUUUAAUCCUCUAAA